Molecule: non-coding RNA, 84 nt
Organism: Podarcis lilfordi (Lilford's wall lizard)
Lineage: Eukaryota; Metazoa; Chordata; Lepidosauria; Squamata; Lacertidae
Source: the annotation of a GenBank genome assembly
UGCAGGAUAGCUCAGUCAGUAGAGCAUGAGACCCUUAAUCUCAGGGUCGUGGGUUCAAGCCCCCUCCCCUUGCCCGUUGGGCAA